RNAcentral lists this ribosomal RNA (2782 nucleotides) under Salmonella enterica subsp. enterica serovar Enteritidis. Its description in RNAcentral is "partial 23S ribosomal RNA". It matches the Rfam family "Bacterial large subunit ribosomal RNA". Lineage: Bacteria; Pseudomonadati; Pseudomonadota; Gammaproteobacteria; Enterobacterales; Enterobacteriaceae. The record is from RNAcentral.
GGGAAACCCAGUGUGACUCGUCACACUAUCAUUAACUGAAUCCAUAGGUUAAUGAGGCGAACCGGGGGAACUGAAACAUCUAAGUACCCCGAGGAAAAGAAAUCAACCGAGAUUCCCCCAGUAGCGGCGAGCGAACGGGGAGGAGCCCAGAGCCUGAAUCAGCAUGUGUGUUAGUGGAAGCGUCUGGAAAGGCGCGCGAUACAGGGUGACAGCCCCGUACACAAAAGCGCAUGUGCUGUGAGCUCGAUGAGUAGGGCGGGACACGUGGUAUCCUGUCUGAAUAUGGGGGGACCAUCCUCCAAGGCUAAAUACUCCUGACUGACCGAUAGUGAACCAGUACCGUGAGGGAAAGGCGAAAAGAACCCCGGCGAGGGGAGUGAAAAAGAACCUGAAACCGUGUACGUACAAGCAGUGGGAGCACCCUUUGGGUGUGACUGCGUACCUUUUGUAUAAUGGGUCAGCGACUUAUAUUCUGUAGCAAGGUUAACCGAAUAGGGGAGCCGGAGGGAAACCGAGUCUUAACCGGGCGUUAAGUUGCAGGGUAUAGACCCGAAACCCGGUGAUCUAGCCAUGGGCAGGUUGAAGGUUGGGUAACACUAACUGGAGGACCGAACCGACUAAUGUUGAAAAAUUAGCGGAUGACCUGUGGCUGGGGGUGAAAGGCCAAUCAAACCGGGAGAUAGCUGGUUCUCCCCGAAAGCUAUUUAGGUAGCGCCUCGUGAAUUCAUCUCCGGGGGUAGAGCACUGUUUCGGCUAGGGGGCCAUCCCGGCUUACCAACCCGAUGCAAACUGCGAAUACCGGAGAAUGUUAUCACGGGAGACACACGGCGGGUGCUAACGUCCGUCGUGAAGAGGGAAACAACCCAGACCGCCAGCUAAGGUCCCAAAGUCAUGGUUAAGUGGGAAACGAUGUGGGAAGGCCCAGACAGCCAGGAUGUUGGCUUAGAAGCAGCCAUCAUUUAAAGAAAGCGUAAUAGCUCACUGGUCGAGUCGGCCUGCGCGGAAGAUGUAACGGGGCUAAACCAUGCACCGAAGCUGCGGCAGCGACACUGUGUGUUGUUGGGUAGGGGAGCGUUCUGUAAGCCUGUGAAGGUGUGUCGUGAGGCAUGCUGGAGGUAUCAGAAGUGCGAAUGCUGACAUAAGUAACGAUAAAGCGGGUGAAAAGCCCGCUCGCCGGAAGACCAAGGGUUCCUGUCCAACGUUAAUCGGGGCAGGGUGAGUCGACCCCUAAGGCGAGGCCGAAAGGCGUAGUCGAUGGGAAACGGGUUAAUAUUCCCGUACUUGGUGUUACUGCGAAGGGGGGACGGAGAAGGCUAUGUUGGCCGGGCGACGGUUGUCCCGGUUUAAGCGUGUAGGUGUGUGUUCCAGGUAAAUCCGGUUCACUUUAACACUGAGGCGUGACGACGAGGCACUACGGUGCUGAAGCAACAAAUGCCCUGCUUCCAGGAAAAGCCUCUAAGCAUCAGGUAACAUCAAAUCGUACCCCAAACCGACACAGGUGGUCAGGUAGAGAAUACCAAGGCGCUUGAGAGAACUCGGGUGAAGGAACUAGGCAAAAUGGUGCCGUAACUUCGGGAGAAGGCACGCUGACACGUAGGUGAAGUGAUUUACUCAUGGAGCUGAAGUCAGUCGAAGAUACCAGCUGGCUGCAACUGUUUAUUAAAAACACAGCACUGUGCAAACACGAAAGUGGACGUAUACGGUGUGACGCCUGCCCGGUGCCGGAAGGUUAAUUGAUGGGGUCAGCGCAAGCGAAGCUCCUGAUCGAAGCCCCGGUAAACGGCGGCCGUAACUAUAACGGUCCUAAGGUAGCGAAAUUCCUUGUCGGGUAAGUUCCGACCUGCACGAAUGGCGUAAUGAUGGCCAGGCUGUCUCCACCCGAGACUCAGUGAAAUUGAACUCGCUGUGAAGAUGCAGUGUACCCGCGGCAAGACGGAAAGACCCCGUGAACCUUUACUAUAGCUUGACACUGAACAUUGAGCCUUGAUGUGUAGGAUAGGUGGGAGGCUUUGAAGUGUGGACGCCAGUCUGCAUGGAGCCGACCUUGAAAUACCACCCUUUAAUGUUUGAUGUUCUAACGUGGACCCGUUACCCGGGUUGCGGACAGUGUCUGGUGGGUAGUUUGACUGGGGCGGUCUCCUCCUAAAGAGUAACGGAGGAGCACGAAGGUUGGCUAAUCCUGGUCGGACAUCAGGAGGUUAGUGCAAUGGCAUAAGCCAGCUUGACUGCGAGCGUGACGGCGCGAGCAGGUGCGAAAGCAGGUCAUAGUGAUCCGGUGGUUCUGAAUGGAAGGGCCAUCGCUCAACGGAUAAAAGGUACUCCGGGGAUAACAGGCUGAUACCGCCCAAGAGUUCAUAUCGACGGCGGUGUUUGGCACCUCGAUGUCGGCUCAUCACAUCCUGGGGCUGAAGUAGGUCCCAAGGGUAUGGCUGUUCGCCAUUUAAAGUGGUACGCGAGCUGGGUUUAGAACGUCGUGAGACAGUUCGGUCCCUAUCUGCCGUGGGCGCUGGAGAACUGAGGGGGGCUGCUCCUAGUACGAGAGGACCGGAGUGGACGCAUCACUGGUGUUCGGGUUGUCAUGCCAAUGGCACUGCCCGGUAGCUAAAUGCGGAAGAGAUAAGUGCUGAAAGCAUCUAAGCACGAAACUUGCCCCGAGAUGAGUUCUCCCUGAGACUUAAAGUCUCCUGAAGGAACGUUGAAGACGACGACGUUGAUAGGCCGGGUGUGUAAGCGCAGCGAUGCGUUGAGCUAACCGGUACUAAUGAACCGUGAGGCUUAACCU